GAAAAAAUUGAAGGGUGAAAUAACAAGGGCUGAUGAAGAGAAAAGACAUGCUGAUGCUGAAAGGAAAAGAGCAGAAGCAAAUAGGCUUAGUUUGGAAAAUCUGAAAAAGGAAGCUGAUCAAGUGAAAUCGAAGUUAGCUUUGGUGAUUUUGGAGUUUGAGGAUGCUAAUAAGAAGCUGGAGGCAGAAAGAGAAAACACAUCCAAAGAGAGAAAACGUGCAGAUGCAGCAGAGAUGAAAACUGUAGAGCAAAAAAAGAUUGCAGAAGCCAACCGCAAAAUGGCCAUGAAUGAAAAAAGUCGUGCUACUGCUCUAUUUUGGCAGUUGGAACAGGAUAGACAAAAGGUUGACAAUUUGAAGAAGGAGAUUGGUGAACUCAUGGCAUCUGGUAAAAUGGCUAACAUCGUAUCU
This 409-nucleotide unclassified non-coding RNA is filed under the name Hevea brasiliensis (rubber tree). Lineage: Eukaryota; Viridiplantae; Streptophyta; Magnoliopsida; Malpighiales; Euphorbiaceae. The record is from RNAcentral.